AGACUAAGCCAUGCAUGUCUAAGUAUAAACGAUCUUUAUACGUGAAACUGCGAAUGGCUCAUUAAAUCAGUUAUAGUUUAUUUGGUGGUUCCUUGCUACAUGGAUAACCGUAGUAAUUCUAGAGCUAAUACAUGCAUAAAGUCCCGACUUCUGGAAGGGAUGUAUUUAUUAGAUCCAAAACCAGCGCGGUCUUCGCGGGCCGGUUUGUUGGUGAUUCAUGAUAACUGCUCGAAUCGCAUGGACACGUUCCGGCGAUGAUCCAUUCAAAUUUCUGCCCUAUCAACUUUCGAUGGUAGGGUAGUGGCCUACCAUGGUUGCAACGGGUGACGGAGAAUUAGGGUUCGAUUCCGGAGAGGGAGCCUGAGAAACGGCUACCACAUCCAAGGAAGGCAGCAGGCGCGCAAAUUACCCAAUCCCGACUCGGGGAGGUAGUGACAAUAAAUAACAAUGCCGGGCUAUUAUAGUCUGGCAAUUGGAAUGAGUACAAUCUAAACCCCUUAACGAGGAACAAUUGGAGGGCAAGUCUGGUGCCAGCAGCCGCGGUAAUUCCAGCUCCAAUAGCGUAUAUUAAAGUUGUUGCAGUUAAAAAGCUCGUAGUUGGAUUUCGGGGCAGGUGGGCCGGUCCACCGCAAGGUGCGUACUGGGCGCCAGCCCUUCCUCUC
Molecule: ribosomal RNA, 662 nt
Filed under: Svenzea cristinae
Lineage: Eukaryota; Metazoa; Porifera; Demospongiae; Bubarida; Dictyonellidae
Description: SSU rRNA
Rfam family: Eukaryotic small subunit ribosomal RNA
Source: RNAcentral